AAGUAAAAAGUCGUAACAAGGUCUCCGUUGGUGAACCAGCGGAGGGAUCAUUGCUGGAACGCGCCCCAGGCGCACCCAGAAACCCUUUGUGAACUUAUACCUUACUGUUGCCUCGGCGCUAGCUGGUCCUUCGGGGCCCCUCACCCUCGGGUGUUGAGACAGCCCGCCGGCGGCCAACCCAACUCUUGUUUUUACACUGAAACUCUGAGAAUAAAACAUAAAUGAAUCAAAACUUUCAACAACGGAUCUCUUGGUUCUGGCAUCGAUGAAGAACGCAGCGAAAUGCGAUAAGUAAUGUGAAUUGCAGAAUUCAGUGAAUCAUCGAAUCUUUGAACGCACAUUGCGCCCUCUGGUAUUCCGGAGGGCAUGCCUGUUCGAGCGUCAUUUCAACCCUCAAGCCUGGCUUGGUGAUGGGGCACUGCUUUUACCCAAGAGCAGGCCCUGAAAUUCAGUGGCGAGCUCGCCAGGACCCCGAGCGCAGUAGUUAAACCCUCGCUCUGGAAGGCCCUGGCGGUGCCCUGCCGUUAAACCCCCAACUUCUGAAAAUUUGACCUCGGAUCAGGUAGGAAUACCCGCUGAACUUAAGCAUAUCAAUAG
Molecule: ribosomal RNA, 597 nt
Filed under: fungal sp.
Lineage: Eukaryota; Fungi
Description: eukaryotic LSU rRNA
Rfam family: 5.8S ribosomal RNA (bases 231-384)
Source: RNAcentral